CUCCUAUUUACUAGGCAGGCACUUUAACCAACUAAGCCACGGCGCCACACGUCUUCUGUACAACGUGUAGAUCAUUACAAUGUUCAAGGGAAACCGGGCUGAUUUUUCUCACUGCAGUAAAAUCUUGUACCUACGACAAACAGAACUUUUCUAAGUAAGACCCACAGUUUCCUCCAAAAAAGUCAGAAAUCAACUCAAUCAAGAUGUUGCAAUUGCUUCAGUCUUUCAACUACAAGUCAAUGCACUCUCUAUGGCACCACAAAGUCAUUGCAAUUUAAUGCAGACAAGUGGAAUAUUUCUGAAAUGUUGAGCUUCUUUGUUCUGCAUCAAAAGCAAAUAAAUAGCACAACUUUCGACUCUGGUGGGACUCGAACCCACAACCUUUGAAUUGCUCCAUCUUAUCAUCUAGAAGUCCAAUGCGCUAUCCAAUGUGCCACAGAGCUUGCAGAGCCCUUCUUGAUCAAGGCUGACUGAUUUUCCAGGAAAACAACUGUUGCAAGUCUAAAAAAGAAGUAGUCUUAACUCAAAGAUCAAUACAAAUUGAUCAAACCAAAGGCACCGCUGCACCCAGCCUUAGUGCUGGAGAAACUUCACUAAAAACUCACCCUUAUUACUCUGCACUUUAGCAGAGUGGCUCUUACUGCUUUAUAAUACCUGGCUGGUAGAAUUCAUACAUAAAACCCAAAUUUUGGGGAAAUUUUUUGUGUGCCUUAUAGUCCAAAAAAACUAAUUCAGUCAGUCUAUGGCACAUAUACAUUGAAACAGAGAUUGUUGAGUUGAAUUAACUUAAAACUGGGUUUAGUUUGUUGCCAUUGAUCGCUUCUUUUACACUGGCUUCUGGUAAAAUCUGUUUGCAUACUGGGUGUGUCCCCCAGUUUCUGGCUCUCACCAUCAGUCUGAAGGGAUUCCCCCCAUAGCGCUUAUCCUGCAAAAGAACCUUCUUUCAGAGGUGUAAGAAUCUUUUCAGUGAAUGGUCCCACCAGUUGUAGUGGAAUGGUCAGAACUUCACAUUAUACAGCAGCAACAGAGAGCGUUACACAGCGUCAGUGAACACGGGUCACGCUAAAGAACCUAGUAGUGUUCUUUGGUUCCCGCUGCAAAUGCACGUUCCUGGUUUCGGAACCUAGUUUUCUUGGUGGAAACAUGGCAAACUGUUCAACAUUAG
RNAcentral lists this transfer RNA (1165 nucleotides) under Astyanax mexicanus (Mexican tetra). RNAcentral's name for it is "lncRNA (ENSAMXG00005005785.1)". The record is from RNAcentral. Lineage: Eukaryota; Metazoa; Chordata; Actinopteri; Characiformes; Acestrorhamphidae.